This 297-nucleotide signal recognition particle RNA is filed under the name Cebus imitator (Panamanian white-faced capuchin). RNAcentral's name for it is "Metazoan signal recognition particle RNA (ENSCCAG00000003398.1)". It matches the Rfam family "Metazoan signal recognition particle RNA". Rfam says of the family: The signal recognition particle (SRP) is a universally conserved ribonucleoprotein. It is involved in the co-translational targeting of proteins to membranes. The eukaryotic SRP consists of a 300-nucleotide 7S RNA and six proteins: SRPs 72, 68, 54, 19, 14, and 9. The record is from RNAcentral. Lineage: Eukaryota; Metazoa; Chordata; Mammalia; Primates; Cebidae.
GCCGGGCGGUGGCACGUGCCUGUAGUCCCAGCUAUUCGGGAGGCUGAGGCUGGAGGAUGUCUUGAGUCCAGGAGUUCUGGGCUGUAGUGCUCUCUGCCAAUCGGCUGUCCGCACUAAGUUGGGCAUCAGUAUGGUGACCUCCUGGGAGCAGGGGACCACCAGGUUGCCUAAGGAGGGGUGAACCGGCCCAGGUCGGAAACAGAGCAGGUCAAAACUCCUGUGCUGAUCAGUAGUGGGAUCAUGCCUGUGAACAGCCACUGCACUCCAGCCUGGACAACAUAGCAAGACCCCAUAUCU